UUGUUUUUGCGUAUGCGUUUCUGUGUGGAAACGUUUUACAUAUACUCGUCAGGGAUCUUAAAAGUCUCAGGGAUCUUGAAAGUAUCAGGAUCUUCAUCUUGAAGCCAACCAUACAUCUUUGUAAAAGGAUUCGAAAUCGAUUUAGGUGGAUAAUCAUUAAUGCAAUGAUUCCACACAUUCCCUUUUGAUUCUCCAGUGGUGAGGUCUCUCAAAACUUCCCAAACGCAACUAUUACACUUAAAACCAGCUCCAAAGCUUAUCAUAAACACCCUAUCUCCUCUCUUCAGUCUCUUCUUAGCCUCCAUGUAAGCCAACACAUACCACAAACUACUAGCCGAGGUAUUCCCAAACCUGUAAAGAGUCAUCCUCGCCGGUUCAAUAUCAUAGUCGGUUAAAUCCAAGCUAUGUUGGAUCCCAUCAAUCACAGCUUUUCCUCCGGUAUGAAUGCAAAAAUGUUCAAUCCCGGUCUUGAAGUUGAUCCCUGCCUUUAUAGGAGUCCCCGGUGGGAGAUUCGUGGAGCCCUUGCUAGGGUUUUGACGCAUCUUGAUUUUCUUGAUGAAAAGCUUUACCAUGAACCUCAAGAGCUCGGUAACAGGAAGAAUCUUGGGUGCUAUAACCUUCAAAUUGUCUACCAAAGCGCGAGUGGCUGCCUUUGGUAGAUUCUUCCCCAAGUAAAACCCUACACGGCCUUGUUCGUCCUCGGACUGGAUACAACAGUUGUAAGAAUCCUCUCUAGCUCCAUGGUGAGUCCGUACCAAACACUUGAGCUUAAACAUUGCUUUCUCUCUCAAGCUACGUUUGUUAGUCAAGAGAAUGGCAGCACCACCGGACCGGAACAAGCAGUUGGCUAGAAUCAUCGAACGGUUGUUUCCGCUAUACCAAUUAGGGCUCAAAGACUCGGAGGUAGCAACGAGAGCUAAUUUGUUUGGGUAGCUUUUGAAUAUGUUCUUGACAAUGUCUACAGAGAUUAGACUCGCGCUACAUCCCAUCCCGGUUAAGUUGAAGACUUUGAUGUCUUCCCUCAUCUUGUAAUGGUUUAUAAUUCUUGACGGUAAAGAAGGCAUUGAGGUGAGCAUGGAGACGUUGACUACGAGGAUGUCGACUUCUUUAGGUGAGAUUUGCUGUCUCUCCAGGAGUUUUCCGAUGGUGUCUACGUAGAACUCUUCCAUCUCCGAGAUCCCAUCUUGCAACGUAGGACGCUCUCAGUGGGUUCUACAUCACCGUUGAAUUUUGUUUGAGAAGUUUAAUACAGUACCUUUUAAAUAAUUUUUCUACAGCUUAAAAAGCUUAAGGUGAAUUUUAAAGACAAGUGGGGAUACAUUGAUGUUUGCGUAUACAUGAUGCAAUACGUGUUCCUUUAUUAAAUGUGAUUACUUGAAAGAAUUUUGGAAAUACCAAAAUUACUGAAAGAGUUUUGUCAGAAUACUUUUCUUAAAAAUGGGUAAGAACUUGUUAACUUUGAUAAAAAAACUUACACGUCCGAAAAUACCAAACUUAAAUACAUAUAAAAUCUUUUAAUUGGUAAUUUUGCUCAUGUAGUUCAUGUGUCUUAUGGUUGAUGUUUAGAACUGUUUUAUGGCUAUACGUUGGUAACGAUGAGGGUAAGUACUGUCUUAUUAUAUAGUUGUGCAUGUUUGAGUUUUGAAGAGGCAUAUAUUCGUUAUGGUUUUAGAAAUUGUUGACAUAUAUUACUAGCUUGGUUUCUCAUGUGGUUGGGAGCUGAUAAGUGAUCGAGGAAACUAAGCUUCAUUUUGCUGAAAAAUGUGGCAUAAUUUUUUUUUCAAAAAGACUGGCAUAGUCUCAACUUAAGAACGCUUCGUUGGAUUUGUUUGACAGUGAAGAAGAUAAGAGUAGUGUAAGCUUUUCUUCCACAAGUGGAUUUGUUUGACAGUGAAGAAGAUAAGAGUAGUGUCUGUAUAUGUUUUCUUCUUCCUUUUUAAUCUGUAAAUUUUUCUUUUAUCUUUUUAAUAUGAAUUCCUUUUAAAAAAUGAAUCUAUGGAGAAGAAGAAUGAGAUAACGUAAAGAGAGAAGGAGAUCAAACAAAGAGUAAAAUUAAUAGAUAUAAGUUUAUAUGGAAGACUAGUAUAUCUCCCGUGCUAUGCACGGCUAUUAUUUAUUUGUAUGUAUAUAUACACUAAAUAUAGUAGAUAUAAAUUUAACAAUGUUAAUUUGCAUUUUUUUAAAAAAAAUUGAUAUUUAUAACUUACAAUUGCAUAAUAUAAAGAGCCCUAAUAUAAUCCUGAAAGUAAAAUAUUGAUCUUCUUUCAAAACCAAAUAAAAAUUUAUUACAUAUGAAACACAAAUUGAAGAAAAACAUGUGUUUUCCAUAAGUACUAUUAACAUAUCAACCUUACUUUGUAGAUAAAUUCUAUUAGUGUCUUUUGUCGUGUUUAUCUCUUUUUUUUUCCUAUGGAUGCUUUUGUUAUCUUUCACUAUAACUUUUACAUUUCUUCAUUUUCAAUGCUAUACAUGCUUUGACAUUUUGUUUCCAAAAAAAUCAGACAAAUUUUGUUAAGCUUAGAAGAAAAGUAAAAGUGAAAAAGUAUAUAUAGAUCAAAAGUAAACAAAAUAAACACAUAAAUAAAAAAAUAAGGAAGACCAACCUGAUCACUGAUCAGAUUAGUAGGUGAUAUAUGAGUCUUUUUCAUUUUUCCUCUCACCUGAAUUUCUCCAGCUCCAUUUGUUGUCUUCUAAUGAUCAUCAUUUUUUCUUGUGGCACUUCUCAAAUUUCUGAAAGAUUUUGUACGUGUGCUUUACGGCGAGUCUCUAUUAUUCUCCUUCUCUUUUUUUUUGUGUGCACAUUAUUCUCCUUCUCUUUUUUUUUGUGUGCACAUUACCACACAAAAUAAGAACUUCCAACAAAUCCAGAAUUGGUUUAAUCUAAUUUGAAAAUGAUAUCGACUUCGUUUACUUGCGUUAUCACUUUCACCCAGCAUGUAGCAAAAAUGUUUAUAAAAAAAGCUAUCAGUAGAUUAUAAAAGAAAAGGUCGACGAAAAAAAAAUUUCAACAUGACGCAAUUUAGGAUUUGAGGAGGAAGAGUUUGAGUGUUUUUUAGAGUUAAUAACCUGGACACUACUAACGUUCAUCAGCCAAUUUUGGAGUACGAUUGGCCUACCCGUUUGAAGCCUACUGUUGUGCCACCGUGGGUUUGCCAGAGAUUUCGUUGAUAUUGAUCCACCAUUUCAUUCAAAAAAAAAAAAAAGAUAUUGAUCCACCAUUCGAUACUAUGGAUACGGUUAAUAAAAUUUUCAAUCUAUCUGUUUAAAAUUGCAAUUUCACACUUUAGACAGAGAGUUAGAAGCUGUUACAAAGAAUUUAGGAAUUUAAGCAAGUAGAGAUGAAUUUGAGUUAAAGCUCUGUGAGUUAAAUGUUAUCCAGAAAAAAAAGGAUUACCGGUUCCAAAGAGUAGGAGAUCAUGGGUGUAGUGUGAGAACUAUUAGGGGUUUUUUGUUCUACAUACCAAAAUCACUUACGAAGAACACACGAAACUGUUUUUACAUUUAUUUUUCUUUGCAGUUAUGUUUUUUUUCCUUUGCAUUUAUGUUUUUAAAAUUUGUAAAACAUAUGACAUGUGUCAGAUUUUGAUUUGUUAGGCGACUUGCGCUUUAGUAUAUAAGGGAUACAACAAUUUUGAAUCAUGAUCAAUACUUUUGAACGUGGUGUUUAUGGUUUUUCUGAACGGGGUAUUGAUAAUCUGAUUUUUUUUAGGGAUUUAGUCAUUGGAUGUUGAGAAAAUUUGGAAUCAAAAUUUUCUUUUGUAUUGACAUUAUUUUUUUUAUACAUAUCCACAUGUCACUCUUUGAUUCGCUAAGCAACUUGCGGUUUAGUAUAUAAGGGAUUUUAUUCUCUUUUUUAAAAAAGAGGUAAAUUUCAUUCCAAAGUGUUCUUAUAAAAUAAAAGAUAUUUUCUAUUAUUUGUAGAAGAAUGUUAUAUUUAUCCUAUUUAUAAAAUAAGAUAUAAUAUUAAUUAUAAAUGAAAAAGUAUAAAAUUUCUUUAUUUAGAAGAAUACAUUGGAGUGAAAUUCACUUAUAAUCUAACGUUAUUCUAUGUACAGAAAAAAAAGAGAUAUAGGUUAGAUCCUAAGUUGAGAUUUUUUUUUGUGUGGCAACAAGUAAGAUUAGGUUUUUUUAAGUUUGUUUAAAGUUUUGAUUUUGAAUUUUACAAGGCUGACAUAUUUUUACUCUAUAGUUCAGUCCAUUAGUUUUCUUUAUUUAUCUAGAAAACUUAGUGUGCCAUGUUUUUGCGCAUAUUUUGAUAUCGAGAAUCUAUGUGCAUUUAUGAUCUGCAUGAUUAAAUAUGAAACCAACUGUGUAAUGACAGUGGAUAUGAGGUUCAUUGGAUGAUUAUUGGCAGAGAGCUGCUCCCAUACUGGCAAGCUCGAGAUUAUUUUCAAUCUAUUCACCAUUAGCAUUUAUCACGUUACCAACUUGUCAUUCAUAACGUAGAUGCCAUAAAACCUACGAGCGUCAGGAUCCAUUGCCUGACUUAUGAAUAAUUGUUAGCACAGUUUUAGUCUAACAUAUAAAUAUAUACAUACGCAUAUGCAUAGACAAAAGAGUCUGAUGAGACAGCAGUAGCGGAGCUAGAGCAGUGGCAUGUGGGUCAAAUGACCCAUAUGAAAUUUUGUAAAAAAAAAUUUACAUGUAUUUCUUGCAUAAAAUCCAAAGAUGCGUUUCUGUGUGGAAACGUUUUACAUAUACUCGUCAGGUAUCUUGAAAGUCUCAGGGAUCUUGAAAGUAUCAGGAUCUUCAUCUUGAAGCCAACCAUACAUCUUUGUAAAAGGAUUCGAAAUCGAUUUAGGUGGAUAAUCAUUAAUGCAAUGAUUCCACACAUUCCCUUUUGAUUCUCCAGUGGUGAGGUCUCUCAAAACUUCCCAAACGCAACUAUUACACUUAAAACCAGCUCCAAAGCUUAUCAUAAACACCCUAUCUCCUCUCUUCAGUCUCUUCUUAGCCUCCAUGUAAGCCAACACAUACCACAAACUACUAGCCGAGGUAUUCCCAAACCUGUAAAGAGUCAUCCUCGCCGGUUCAAUAUCAUAGUCGGUUAAAUCCAAGCUAUGUUGGAUCCCAUCAAUCACAGCUUUUCCUCCGGUAUGAAUGCAAAAAUGUUCAA
Molecule: long non-coding RNA, 5116 nt
Filed under: Brassica napus (rape)
Lineage: Eukaryota; Viridiplantae; Streptophyta; Magnoliopsida; Brassicales; Brassicaceae
Description: long non-coding RNA (BNAP_LNC006077)
Source: RNAcentral